UGGGGAAUCUUGCACAAUGGGGGAAACCCUGAUGCAGCGACGCCGCGUGAACGAUGAAGCCCUUCGGGGUGUAAAGUUCUUUCGACAGGAACGAUAAUGACGGUACCUGGAGAAGAAGCUGCGGCUAACUACGUGCCAGCAGCCGCGGUAAUACGUAGGCAGCGAGCGUUGUUCGGAGUUACUGGGCGUAAAGAGUGCGUAGGCGGCGAGCCAAGUUUGGUGUGAAAUCUCCCGGCUUAACCGGGAGGGUGCGCCGAAAACUGGUUGGCUGGAGUAUGGGAGAGGAAAGCGGAAUUCCUGGUGUGGCGGUGAAAUGCGUAGAUAUCAGGAGGAACACCUGCGGUGUAGACAGCUUUCUGGACCAAAACUGACGCUGAGGCACGAAAGCGUGGGUAGCAAACA
Molecule: ribosomal RNA, 402 nt
Filed under: uncultured bacterium
Lineage: Bacteria
Description: bacterial SSU rRNA
Rfam family: Bacterial small subunit ribosomal RNA
Source: RNAcentral